GAUGAACGCUGGCGGCGUGCUUAACACAUGCAAGUCGAACGGGAAACAUUUUAUUGAAGCUUCGGCAGAUUUAGUUUGUUUCUAGUGGCGGACGGGUGAGUAACGCGUGGGUAACCUGCCUCACACUGGGGGAUAACAGUCAGAAAUGACUGCUAAUACCGCAUAAGCGCACGAGACCGCAUGGUUUUGUGUGAAAAACUCCGGUGGUGUGAGAUGGACCCGCGUUGGAUUAGCUGGUUGGUGGGGUAACGGCCUACCAAGGCGACGAUCAGUAGCCGGCCUGAGAGGGCGACCGGCCACAUUGGGACUGAGACACGGGCCCAAACUCCUACGGGAGGCAGCAGUGGGGAAUAUUGCACAAUGGGGGAAACCCUGAUGCAGCGACGCCGCGUGAAGG
RNAcentral lists this ribosomal RNA (397 nucleotides) under uncultured bacterium. Its description in RNAcentral is "bacterial SSU rRNA". It matches the Rfam family "Bacterial small subunit ribosomal RNA", at positions 28 to 407 of the family's 1533-position model. The record is from RNAcentral.